This 346-nucleotide ribosomal RNA is filed under the name uncultured fungus. RNAcentral describes it as "SSU rRNA". It matches the Rfam family "Eukaryotic small subunit ribosomal RNA", at positions 20 to 370 of the family's 1831-position model. The record is from RNAcentral. Lineage: Eukaryota; Fungi.
GUAGUCAUAUGCUUGUCUCAAAGAUUAAGCCAUGCAUGUCUAAGUAUAAGCAAUUAUACCGCGAAACUGCGAAUGGCUCAUUAAAUCAGUUAUCGUUUAUUUGAUAGUACCUUACUACUUGGAUAACCGUGGUAAUUCUAGAGCUAAUACAUGCUAAAAACCUCGACUUCGGAAGGGGUGUAUUUAUUAGAUAAAAAACCAAUGCCCUUCGGGGCUCCUUGGUGAAUCAUAAUAACUUAACGAAUCGCAUGGCCUUGCGCCGGCGAUGGUUCAUUCAAAUUUCUGCCCUAUCAACUUUCGAUGGUAGGAUAGUGGCCUACCAUGGUAUCAACGGGUAACGGGGAAU